Molecule: long non-coding RNA, 132 nt
Filed under: Cricetulus griseus (Chinese hamster)
Lineage: Eukaryota; Metazoa; Chordata; Mammalia; Rodentia; Cricetidae
Description: lncRNA (ENSCGRG00000025401.1)
Source: RNAcentral
AUGUAUUGUUCUUAUCUGGGCAUCUCCCAUGAGCCUGUAUUGAGCCAAUGUGUGAGACACCAGCCUAGAACACACACAGUCCUCCCUCCCCAAGUUCUGGAAGAACCGGAGGCUGGUGUUGCAGUUCUUUGA